This 3661-nucleotide long non-coding RNA is filed under the name Salmo salar (Atlantic salmon). Its description in RNAcentral is "lncRNA (ENSSSAG00000092823.1)". The record is from RNAcentral. Lineage: Eukaryota; Metazoa; Chordata; Actinopteri; Salmoniformes; Salmonidae.
CCAGGAACAGAGGUCUGUAUUUGACGUCAUAGUGAACAGAUUCUGUUGUACAAAAGAAUCCUCAGACACAUUGUUAUUGAAGUCAUUUUAAUGGUAGCGGACAGCACAAACGAAUUACAUAAUCUAAUACAUAUUACCACAGUGAUAUCUCCGGAAAUCAACUUGAACCUCUACUUUUAACGUCCAUUAAAACAAGAGUAAAAAUUCACAUAGAAAACAAGCUCUUAUAAAAAGAAAAAAAAUGAAAAAAUGAAAAAAUCUAGAAAAUUAUAAAAUCAGGCCAGAAAAUUGGAUUAUUUUCCAGUGAUGUUUUUUCAACCUUUCCUCAACGUCCUUUAAAAGACCACUUAAAUAAUAGGGACAGGAUCACCUGAAAUGACUCAUCCACACAAGGAACGUUGUCUUACGGUCGACACGUCAUACUUCUGUUUCUGGCAAACAACUACAAUCUAAGGGCUGAAUGUUUCCUCGUCGCCCCUUGACUGAAGUUGCUAAGUCACACAGACGUUGCGGUAACAUUUGUCAUUUUUAUACCUUUGAAAUAUACUGCAGGAAGCAAUGAUUAUUAUCAUGAAACGAUCUCUCAGCUCUUUGAUAAUAACAAUAUGUUGUGCUGGUAAAAGCCCAACAAGCUUGUGCUUGGCUCGAUUCCAGAGACCUGUACAAACCGAUCUCUGAUCAGCGCUUACGGGAAACCACAGUUGUUCAAGCAGAUGCUCUAACCGUUUGUGACUGACUUGAGAUCAGCAGUAGGGAUAUGUCAUGUUUGCAUAGGGAUUGGUAAAGCAUGGGUUAACUGGCAGAACUGCUUAUCAUUCUCCUUGGAUUACACGAACGUUGUGGCGGCAACAUUUGCUGAUGUUGAAUACAAAUACAAAACCGGAAAGGCCAGACAUUCAGCAACGGGUGUUGCAGUCUAAAGGGGCAAGCGCGCACACACACACGCACGGCGACACACACUCGGGGACACACACUCGUCUCAGCAUUUUUUGGGGGGCAGGUCUCCAGUGUGCUGUAACUUCAGCAGAAAGACCACAGCGCUGUUUAGGAAAUAUAGCAUUUAUGAUGACGGCAGACAGGCAGGCAGAGGCAGGACCAUACAGUAAUUACAGAUGGCAGAGCAUACCCAAGCACAAACUCGCACACGCACGCACACAACAUGAAUGCACAAACAACCACACACACACACACACACACGUAGCUCUGGACACACACACAAUUUCCUGCUUGUGGAGACGUCCUUUGAGAAUGGCCAAUAAGGCCCUAUAGUCUGUUUAUCACCGACAUAGUGACUCCUCCCUGUGAAUCAGAGAGAACAUAAAGAACCGGGGAAAUGAGAUGAGGACUGUGGAACACGUGCGCACACACACACUUAGACCUAUCCCUUGGUCCACCCUAACCCAACACAAACUCCUAUUGGACAACACGAGGGCUGACAUGUGCAACUUCAAGUUGUAUUGGUUGGCACUUGUUUCUUUUAUAAACAUACAGCAUAUUUGACAAUUACAGAGCAACAUUUAACAGGUUUGAAACCAAACCUGGGAAAAAGCUAAACAUGUUCUAUAAAACAUCAGGGCUUCCACAUAGGUAGGACAGUCCAACCAUCCAGAUUGGGAAAUCCAUCCUAUCCCUCUGGAGAAAAAAAUGAUAAAAAAUAGGAUCCCUUCUGAUAAAGUGUCUGUGGGACUGUCUCAAGACGUACUUCAGAGAGAGAGGAAAGUAGAUGGAUAGAUAGUGACAGUGUGUGUGAGAGAAAUUGAUAGAGAAAGAGACUGAAUGAGCGAUAGACAGAGUGCAGUGGAUGUGUGCAGAUGCUGACGCUUGACCAUUGAUACUGUACGUUUAUACGGCAGAGCAAGAGUCCUCCCUCAGCGUGGAAGCGACUAAUAGCAAGCCAGCCUGCGAAACCCUGGGAGUGUGGUUAAGGUUAGGAUAUGGGUAUGGUAGGCUGAUCCAAGAUCUGUGGCUAAGGGGUAACUUCUACCCGUUUUUUUUAACUGGACCGUGAUAGGCUUUCCUCUAAGAGAUCAUCUAGUGACCCCGCCCCCUCUAUGCUAGGCUCCUCCUUCUGUUCUGCCUUGGUCUUCUUAUUGAGCGGUUUGCUGAAGGAGGGCGGGGUGUCCUCCUUCAUCAACUCUUUGGCCAGGAUGUUCGUUACUGCAUGACCAGCUCUUCGGUUGGCUGAAAAGAAAGAAAGAGAGGUCAGACAAUUCAGGGUUGAUCAUCUGGCGGUAACAGACAUGCGACAGACAGGGAUAUUUGCGACGGGUCAGUUCCAUUCAGGAUGCAGUUCGGUACAGGGUAAAGACAACACGGCCAAACCAAACCUCUCACUGCAAACAUCAACCAGGCAACGUCCCAAAAUGGCACCCGAUCCCCUAUAUAGUGCACUACUUUUGACAAGGGGUCAUAGGGAUCUAAUCAAAAGUAGUGCACUAUGUAGGGAAUAGGGUGCCACUUUGGAUGUAAACACAGAGAGAAGUGACUGACUCACCACAGGCCAGGGCAGGCUGUUUGGAGGAAUACCUACUGUCUGCUGAUUGGUCAACAGUACACACACAUGCACAAGCAUGUAUUCUCAAUGGUGAUCAGGAGAAAGAACAAAAUGCACAUACACGAGACACAUGCACGUAUGCAUGCACACAGAGCAGUGGCGUUAAUGUGAGCAAGGCUUAGUGUGUGUGUGUGUGUGUGUGUGUGUGUGUGUGUACAGAACCCUUCACUACAUGUGUCAGAUAACUACCACACCACAUGGUCUUGCUGGCACAGAGAGACGGAAGGAGAGGAGGUGGAGGAAGGAACAGAGGAUUGGAGGCUGUGAGGAGAAAGGGGGGUGGGAGGAGAUCGGAGCAGGAAGGAACAGAGGAGGAUUGGAGGCUGUGAGGAGGGGAGAGGGAGGAGCAGGAAGGAACAGAGGAGGAUUGGAGGCUGUGAGGAGGGGAGAGGGAGGAGCAGGAAGGAACAGAGGAGGAUUGGAGGCUGUGAGGAGGGGAGAGGGAGGAGCAGGAAGGAACAGAGGAGGAUUGGAAGCUGUGAGGAGGGGAGAGGGAGGAGCAGGAAGGAACAGAGGAGGAUUGGAGGCUGUGAGGAGGGGAGAGGGAGGAGCAGGAAGGAACAGAGGAGGAUUGGAAGCUGUGAGGAGGGGAGAGGGAGGAGCAGGAAGGAACAGAGGAGGAUUGGAGGCUGUGAGGAGGGGAGAGGGAGGAGCAGGAAGGAACAGAGGAGGAUUGGAGGCUGUGAGGAGGGGAGAGGGAGGAGCAGGAAGGAACAGAGGAGGAUUGGAGGCUGUGAGGAGGGGAGAGGGAGGAGCAGGAAGGAACAGAGGAGGAUUGGAGGCUGUGAGGAGGGGAGAGGGAGGAGCAGGAAGGAACAGAGGAGGAUUGGAGGCUGUGAGGAGGGGAGAGGGAGGAGCAGAAAGGAACAGAGGAGGAUUGGAAGCUGUGAGGAGGGGAGAGGGAGGAGCAGGAAGGAACAGAGGAGGAUUGGAGGCUGUGAGGAGGGGAGAGGGAGGAGCAGGAAGGAACAGAGGAGGAUUGGAGGCUGUGAGGAGGGGAGAGGGAGGAGCAGGAAGGAACAGAGGAGGAUUGGAGGCUGUGAGGAGGGGAGAGGGAGGAGCAGGAAGGAACAGAGGAGGAUUGGAGGCUGUGAGGAGGGGGGACAU